UCCGCCACUAGAGGCGUUGCAGUGCGGUUUUCGAUGUCGCAUUUGCUUCAUUAGUUGGCGGAAAGUAAACCAGAGCUAUGUCUACGCUCAGUUCCUAAAUGAAUGGGGACUCCGCAUGACUGUUAGCUCGACAUC
This is a small nucleolar RNA of Paramormyrops kingsleyae, 135 nucleotides long. Ensembl annotates it as small nucleolar RNA SNORA17. NCBI's taxonomy places the organism in Eukaryota, Metazoa, Chordata, Actinopteri, Osteoglossiformes, Mormyridae. The record is from Ensembl.